RNAcentral lists this ribosomal RNA (452 nucleotides) under uncultured bacterium. RNAcentral's name for it is "bacterial SSU rRNA". It matches the Rfam family "Bacterial small subunit ribosomal RNA", at positions 60 to 524 of the family's 1533-position model. The record is from RNAcentral.
GAUCGAACGGGGAGUGACAUUGUAUACAUGAUAAUAUUUUAGUGGCGGACGGGUGAGUAACACGUGGGUAACCUGCCCUAUGGAGGGGGAUAACAUUCAGAAAUGAGUGCUAAUACCGCAUAAUAUAGCUUUAUCGCAUGGCAAAGCUAUCAAAGAUUUAUUGCCAUAGGAUGGACCCGCGGCCCAUUAGCUAGUUGGUGAGGUAACGGCCCACCAAGGCGACGAUGGGUAGCCGAUCUGAGAGGAUGAACGGCCACAUUGGAACUGAGACACGGUCCAUACUCCUACGGGAGGCAGCAGUGGGGAAUAUUGCACAAUGGGGGAAACCCUGAUGCAGCAACGCCGCGUGAGCGAUGAAGGCCUUCGGGUCGUAAAGCUCUGUCUUAGCUGACGAUAAUGACGGUAAGCUAGGAGGAAGCCACGGCUAACUACGUGCCAGCAGCCGCGGUAAU